UGAGGAAUAUUGGUCAAUGGACGCAAGUCUGAACCAGCCAAGUAGCGUGCAGGAUGACGGCCCUAUGGGUUGUAAACUGUUUUUAUAUGGGGAUAAAGUGGGGAACGUGUUCACUUUUGCAGGUACCAUAUGAAUAAGGACCGGCUAAUUCCGUGCCAGCAGCCGCGGUAAUACGGAAGGUUCGGGCGUUAUCCGGAUUUAUUGGGUUUAAAGGGAGCGUAGGCCGUUUGGUAAGCGUGUUGUGAAAUGUAGGCGCUCAACUUCUAGAUUGCAGCGCGAACUGUCAAACUUGAGUGCGCGCAACGUAGGCGGAAUUCAUGGUGUAGCGGUGAAAUGCGUAUAUAUCAUGAAGAGAACCGAUUGCGAGGACAGCUUACGGGGGCGCAACUGACGCUGAAGCUCGAAAGUGCGGGUAUCGAACAGG
RNAcentral lists this ribosomal RNA (424 nucleotides) under Verrucomicrobiota bacterium. RNAcentral's name for it is "Verrucomicrobia bacterium partial 16S ribosomal RNA". It matches the Rfam family "Bacterial small subunit ribosomal RNA", at positions 355 to 776 of the family's 1533-position model. Lineage: Bacteria; Pseudomonadati; Verrucomicrobiota. The record is from RNAcentral.